UUAAUAAUAAUAAUAAUAAAUAAUAUCAUAUAUAAAAUAUAUAUCCGUUAUAUUUGUACAUGUAUGUAUGCAUACGUAUAGACAGCUGUAUGAACAGCAAGCGAGGUACUGGCGUGUAUAUGUAUGACCGCCGGUAUAGAUGCCGCUUUAAACACUCGCAAAUAUCUCACAUGCAUCUUAUAUUCGCUUUACCAUUCUACUGUUAGUGGAUCUUCGUUGCGAGAAUGUUGUCAGCGGUGUUAGAAUACACGCUAAGCACUUCGGUUCGAUGAGAGCUAUAGCUAAAAGAGCGAGAUAUAGACAUAUAUAGUUGUGUGUAUAUAUAAAUAUAUAUAUAUAUUUAUAUAUAUAUAUAUAUAUAGAUAUAUAUACACACACAUACGCACAUACGCACUCACAUUUAUAUAUAUAUAUAUAUAUAUAUAUGUUUCGGUGUGUGUGUGUAUACAUAUAUGUAUAUACAUGUGUGUGUAUAUAUCUAUAUCGAUAUAAAUAUAUACAUAUUUCUCGUCAACUUCAUUGGAGCGAAUACAAGAAUUACCUACAACACCUGUAUAUUACUUAACACGAGUACACGUGCACUCCCCCACCACUCUACACACAAUCACAUAUGCAUAAACACACAUAAAUUUGUAAAUAUAUAUAUAGAUAUAGAUAUAUAUAUACACACAUACACAUUCAUACAUACUCAGAAAAAAUACGCAUCUAACACAGAUUUGCACACAUCUAACAGAAACGUGAGUGUGAGUAUAUAUAUAUAUAUAUAUACAAUCGCACACACAUACAUAUAUACAUAUAGUGCCAUAGUUGUUUUUGUUUUUUUCUUUUGAUUUUUGUUUGUUUGUUUUUUUCCAAACACCUCCUAUAGAAGUUAGAUUUCAAACAUACACAAGAGAGCUUUUCGUUGUCACAUCAGUUAACCCUUACCGAAGCCUACACACACGAAUACAUAUACAUACAGACAGCCUCAUAACCACCACCACCACCACCACCCGUCUCACACACAUGCACACAGACAGACACACACACACGCCCUCCACACGUCGUACGCAUAUACAUGUAGAUAUAUAAAUAUAUAUAUCUAUCCAUAUAAAAACAUAAGCACAUGCACUGGUACAUACACGCAUCUCGCACACACGUACGCACACUUUAAAACCAUAUAACCACACAAGCAUUCGCCCAUAACGAAGCCGACACACCUGUCAUUGAGGAGUACAUGUACGCAUACACGUCUACACAAUUAUACACGUAUUUGUAUGAUAUAUAAUCUAUAUAUAUAUACAUAUAUAUAUAUAGAUUGAAAAAUAUAUAUACACAUUCAGUUAAAGCGUUUGCCACCCAGAAACAUAUAUGUAUAUACCCGCGUAUAAGGAUUCUCUCCAGAACCGAUGGCUCGCUUUAUGUGGAUUAUGAAAGAAAUAACGGUCUGGAUUUUAACACCUUUGAUUCAAUUAAUUACCUUGCACACAUUACCAGUUCUUUCUUUGGAGGAUACAGUGCUAGGUUCACUUUACGCAAUGACCUCAACACCACCUAUGCCAAGUUUCCUCCCGACGCCUACAAACGUAACCUUCCUUCGUGGGGAGCUGGCUACGUUGAGAUGUGCUGUAAUAAAUCUGGGAACGAAAUUUGUG
This is a long non-coding RNA of Octopus bimaculoides (California two-spot octopus), 1634 nucleotides long. The record is from RefSeq and is a predicted model, not a curated record. Lineage: Eukaryota; Metazoa; Mollusca; Cephalopoda; Octopoda; Octopodidae.